This 510-nucleotide ribosomal RNA is filed under the name uncultured bacterium. Its description in RNAcentral is "partial 16S ribosomal RNA". It matches the Rfam family "Bacterial small subunit ribosomal RNA", at positions 28 to 505 of the family's 1533-position model. The record is from RNAcentral.
GAUGAACGCUGGCGGCGUGCCUAAUACAUGCAAGUCGAACGAAACUUCUUUAUCACCGAGUGCUUGCACUCACCGAUAAAGAGUUGAGUGGCGAACGGGUGAGUAACACGUGGGCAACCUGCCCAAAAGAGGGGGAUAACACUUGGAAACAGGUGCUAAUACCGCAUAACCAUAGUUACCGCAUGGUAACUAUGUAAAAGGUGGCUAUACUACCGCUUUUGGAUGGGCCCGCGGCGCAUUAGCUAGUUGGUAGGGUAAAGGCUUACCAAGGCAAUGAUGCGUAGCCGAAUUGAGAGGUUGAUCGGCCACAUUGGGACUGAGACACGGCCCAAACUCCUACGGGAGGCAGCAGUAGGGAAUCUUCCACAAUGGGCGAAAGCCUGAUGGAGCAACGCCGCGUGGGUGAAGAAGGUCUUCGGAUCGUAAAACCCUGUUGUUAGAGAAGAAAGUGCGUGAGAGUAACUGUUCACGUUUCGACGGUAUCUAACCAGAAAGCCACGGCUAACUACG